CCUACGGGUGGCUGCAGUAAGGAAUAUUGGACAAUGCUCGCAAGAGUGAUCCAGCCAUGCCGCGUGCAGGAAGACGGCCCUAUGGGUUGUAAACUGCUUUUGAACUAGAGAAAACCCCCCUUCGUGAAGGGGGCUGAUAGUAUAGUUAGAAUAAGCAUCGGCUAACUUCGUGCCAGCAGCCGCGGUAAGACGAAGGAUGCAAGCGUUAUCCGGUUUCAUUGGGUUGAAGGUGAAUUUGUAAGGCAUUGUAGAAAGCCGGCAGCUUAACUGUCGAACUGCCAUUGAUACUGCGGAUCUUGAGUAUGGUUGCUGUGGGCGGAAUAUGACAUGUAGAGGUGAAAUUCAUAGAGAUGUCAUAGAACACCGAUUGCGAAGGCAGCUCACAAAGCCAUUACUGACACUGAGGCUCGAAAGUGCGGGGAUCAAACAGGAUUAGAUACCCGGGUAGUC
Molecule: ribosomal RNA, 450 nt
Filed under: uncultured bacterium
Lineage: Bacteria
Description: partial 16S ribosomal RNA
Rfam family: Bacterial small subunit ribosomal RNA
Source: RNAcentral